GGCUAUGGGCACACCACCCUGAACACGCCCGAUCUCAGAAGCUAAGCAGGGUCGGGCCUGGUUAGUACUUGGACAGGAGAGAAGGGUUGAGGUCCACUUAGUUG
Molecule: ribosomal RNA, 104 nt
Organism: Erinaceus europaeus (western European hedgehog)
Lineage: Eukaryota; Metazoa; Chordata; Mammalia; Eulipotyphla; Erinaceidae
Source: Ensembl